This is an RNA transcript of Crotalus tigris (Tiger rattlesnake), 2329 nucleotides long. It is a transcript of the gene named transmembrane protein 43, with no coding region annotated. Lineage: Eukaryota; Metazoa; Chordata; Lepidosauria; Squamata; Viperidae. The transcript has 13 exons. The record is from RefSeq and is a predicted model, not a curated record.
UCCGCACUGGAGCUCACGAAUCGGGCAGCUUCCGUGUCAGCUAGAGCACGGCCUUUUCUCCCGCGUGGCCCAAAUUAGAAGGGGGAAGAAACGAACGGGAAACAGAGAAGAGCCGUUAUUCGUAACGGACUACAUGUUCCAAGAGGCUGUGCGGAAGAACCGGUCCUUUCGCCGUUUUCCCGACAAGCUUUGCGACCUCGACUGGUUCUCUGUUUCGCCUCUCCUUCCCGUCCUCGUACUCUUAGAAAGUUCAAUGAUAUUCCCAGCAAUGCUUUGCGACGGAUAGGCGUGUCGGGACUUUAUUUCCCUCUGUGGUUCAGGUUAUAUUUUUUUACCCCCUCCCUUCAUCUCUAUCUCAUCCUUGCAAUUCGCGCCCAAGCACGGGCCAUCCCAGGUCUGUGAACGAGGGCGGAGUUUGCCGCGAGUGCUACAAAGAGAGAGAGAGAGAGAUUCGUGUCUGAUCCGUAGGAGUGUUUGGGCGUUACAUCUCCUUUGGGCGUCAGAUCUCUUCCUUCAUUUUAAGAAUAGCUCGAGGAGUUGGUGCAUUUAUUAAAAGCUCAGAGCACAGCGGUAUAUUAGUUCUCUGAAAUGGGUGGAAAGAAUGAGCACGUGAGGAUCACAACUGAGCACAAGCCUGGGUUUCUGGAGCGCCUCAGCGAGACUUCUGGAGGGAUGCUUGUUGGCCUUGCCACCUUUGCCCUGUCUUUCUACAUUCUUUUUACCAAUGAGGGACGAACUUUGAAAACAGCCUCCUCUUUAGCUGAGGGGCUUUCUCUAGUCGUCUCACUUGACAACAUCCAGAUUAUAUCCCAUGAGAAUGACAAGAAACUUGUGCACUUAUCUGGUAUCCUUAGAACAUCAAAGCCUCUGUAUGAUCCCAGCUAUGGGCUUUCUAUCCGGGCAGUCAAGCUCAAACGUCAGGUGGAGAUGUAUCAGUGGGUUGAGUAUGAAGAGUCCAAAGAAUACGAAGAAAAUGGUAAAGUGAACAAAGAAACAAAAUAUUCUUACAAUACAGAAUGGAAAUCAGAAGUUGUGAACAGCAGAAAUUUUGAUCGAGAAAUUGGACAUAAAAACCCUAGUGCCAUGGCUGUUGAAUCUUUCACUGCAGUUGCUUCUGAUGUUCAAGUUGGCAAGUUCUUCCUUUCCAGAGGCCUCAUUGAGAAGAUUAAUAAUUUCAAGCAGAUGAGCCUAUCAAAAUUGGAAGACCCUCACGCAGAUGUGAUCCGCUCAGGCGAUUACUUCUUUCAUAGUGAGAAUCCACGACGUCCAGAAGUUGGGGAUCUUCGUGUUUCAUUCUCCUAUGCAGGUUUGAGUGAAGACUUAUCACGCACGGGUCCACCAGAUAUGGUGACCAUAGUUGCUCGCCAGCAAGAGGAUCACUUAGUUCCAUAUCAAACUAAAUCUGGGGAUGUCUUAAAUAUUCUCUAUCCCGGAGAGCUCACAGCUGAGGAAGUAUUUCAAAAAGAACAUGAGAGUAACAGCAUGAAGACCUGGGGCCUCCGUGCAGCUGGAUGGCUGUCUAUGUUUUUAGGCAUCAGCCUUAUGACCAGAAUUAUUUAUACCCUGGUGGAUUGGUUUCCAGUUGUCCGGGAUCUGGUUGACAUUGGUUUGAAAGGAUUUGCCUUUUGUUUAGCCACUUGUCUCUCAUUGCUGACCAUUUCGGUUGGCUGGUUCUUCUAUCGGCCCUUCUGGGCAAUAUCGAUUGGUUUGUUGGCUGUAAUUCCCAUUCUGAUUGCAAGAUCUCAGGUUCCAUCAAAGAAACAGCAGUGACAUCAUGGAGGAAGCGCCUUCUUUGUAACCACAUGUCUUUGGAAACGUCAUACAUUCAAUGCUUUCAUCAGAUUUGAAGAAAGUGCCAUCAUGGCUAUUUUUGAUCAAAACAAAACACUUCUUCAUAUUGCAGUACAGAAAAUGCAACAUCAGUGUGUUCUAUAAUGGUUCUAGAUGUGCCACUUUCGCAAUCCAGGGGUACAUCGAAUUAAUCUGAGAGCAACAACUACACCAAAGCUCUAGAAGUAAAUAAGUUUAUUAGCAUCAUCUGGAUCUACCGUUUCCUUGAAUUUAGGAUUCCAAACUUAAAUUUGGAUUCAUUGGUUUGGUGCUAUCUAAUGUCAUUUCACUAAAGUCUAGCUAUAAUUUGCCAUUGCCAUGGAGUUGUUCAUCAUUUUGUUAAGAUGUCAAUUGUAUCACUGGGGCAGAAUGAAGCAUGGUGGCUGCUUCCAACUAAAAUCUUAAGUUUAUAUUCUCUAUUUUUACAAUAUCAUUUUUAAAAGUUUCUAUGGAUGCAAAUGCCUAUUUUCUAUUUUAUGAAUAAAAUUCAAGAAAAAUA